RNAcentral lists this long non-coding RNA (214 nucleotides) under Homo sapiens (human). Its description in RNAcentral is "non-protein coding lnc-ABHD17B-1:1". Lineage: Eukaryota; Metazoa; Chordata; Mammalia; Primates; Hominidae. The record is from RNAcentral.
AGUCUUACUUUGUUGCCCAGGCUGGAGUGCAGUGGCGCGAUCUCAGCUCACCACAACCUCAGCCUCCCAGGUUCAAGCGAUUCUCCUGCCUUAGCCUCCCUGGUAGCUGGGACUACAGGUGCAUGCCACCAUGCCCGGCUAAUUUUUGUAUUUUUAGUAGAGACAGGGUUUCACUUAUGUUGGCCAGGCUGGUCUCGAACUUCUGACCUCAUGA